RNAcentral lists this ribosomal RNA (253 nucleotides) under uncultured bacterium. RNAcentral describes it as "partial 16S ribosomal RNA". It matches the Rfam family "Bacterial small subunit ribosomal RNA", at positions 524 to 776 of the family's 1533-position model. The record is from RNAcentral.
UACAGAGGUGGCAAGCGUUGUUCGGAAUUACUGGGCGUAAAGGGCGCGUAGGCGGCCUACUAAGUCAGACGUGAAAUCCCCCGGCUUAACCUGGGAACUGCGUCUGAUACUGGAAGGCUUGAGGAUGGGAGAGGGAUGUAGAAUUCCAGGUGUAGCGGUGAAAUGCGUAGAUAUCUGGAGGAAUACCGGUGGCGUAGGCGGCAUCCUGGACCAUUACUGACGCUGAGGCGCGAAAGCUAGGGGAGCAAACGGG